Non-coding RNA from Sus scrofa (pig), 1069 nucleotides. Lineage: Eukaryota; Metazoa; Chordata; Mammalia; Artiodactyla; Suidae. The record is from the annotation of a RefSeq genome assembly.
AUAUGCUGCAAGUGUGUCCCUAAAAGACAAAAAGACCGAAAACAAAUAAAUAAAUGGACUUGCAAAAUUCUUCUGCUGAAUGAUUGCCAAUGUAUGUAAACUUUAAUCUUCAAUUCUCUUCAGCUUAAACUUUAAUAAGAACUAACCGCCUUUUCCACGCUUCUUUUUAUAUAUUGGGUAGGUCACUAGUGACCAGGUAAUUCAUGACCAGGGAAAGACAAGUAGACCACCUAAAGGUUUGUGGGGAGCCAGACUUUUUCUCAUCUUUGCAUAUGACACGUGGGCUAUGAACAUAACAAGCCCUGCUUCCUGUCUGGGGGAGUCACACAGGAACCCAGGGACUAUGUAUAUGAGCCGCCAGACACUCCAAGACACUGAACGCUCAGCCUGAGGCACAACGAAACACACUUGUGCAGGGGAAUCUGUGCCACAUGCCGCUCUCCAGCCUGCUCUGGCUCUUCCUGGCCUCCGUCUUCUCUGGAUCCGGCAUGGCCCAGAAAGUUACUCAGGACCAGUCAGCUGUGUCUAGGAGAAUGGGGGAGGCAGUCACCCUAAACUGUUGGUAUGAAACAUCUCAGAGUGCUUACUACCUUUUUUGGUAUAAACAGCCUCCCAGUGGAGAGAUGAAUUUCCUUAUUCAUCAGUAUUCCAGUAAACAGAAUAAAAGGGAUGGCCGCUACUCCGUAAACUUCCAGAAAGCACAAAAUUUCAUCAGUCUCACCGUUUCAGUCUUACAACUAGAAGAUUCUGCAAUGUACUUCUGUGCUCUCCGAGAUCUCACGGUGCUUGAAGUAAUAGGAAAAGCUGAACAAAAACCCCAGAGCUCAAUAAGAGAGAGCCCCCCUGCUGCAGGACCCAAGCUGAUAUGCACACCUGCAGACCCCAGACAAGAAGUGGUUGUCCUGUGGUUGCUUCAUCUGUGGUCUGGAUGAGAAGAUUUCUUUCUAAAUAAAAGCUCCUUUUAGGUCAUUUGGAAGCAGGUUUCCCAAGUAUCUUUCUACUAAUACAUUCUCCAUCUUGAAUUUUUUGCUUUAAAUCCAUCAUAUAAAACUUGCAUAAACUUGUCAAA